This 424-nucleotide ribosomal RNA is filed under the name uncultured prokaryote. RNAcentral's name for it is "bacterial SSU rRNA". It matches the Rfam family "Bacterial small subunit ribosomal RNA", at positions 355 to 796 of the family's 1533-position model. The record is from RNAcentral.
UGGGGAAUAUUGGGCAAUGGGCGAAAGCCUGACCCAGCCAUGCCGCGUGAGUGAUGAAGGCCUUAGGGUUGUAAAGCCCUUUCACCGGGGAGGAUGAUGACGUUACCCGGAGAAGAAGCACCGGCUAACCCCGUGCCAGCAGCCGCGGUAAGACGGAGGGUGCUAGCGGUGUUCGGAAUUACUGGGCGUAAAGGGUGCGUAGGCGGCCUGGCGCAUCGGGGGUGAAAGCCCGGGGCUCAACCCCGGAAUUGCCUUCGAGAUGGCUAGGCUUGAGGUCGAGAGAGGAGAGUGGAAUACCCAGUGUAGAGGUGAAAUUCGUAGAUAUUGGGUGGAACACCGGUGGCGAAAGCGGCUCUCUGGCUCGAACCUGACGCUGAGGCACGAAAGCGUGGGGAGCAAACAGGAUUAGAUACCCCUGUAGUCC